UAAGGGGUGUAUGGCAGAUGCA
RNAcentral lists this microRNA (22 nucleotides) under Homo sapiens (human). RNAcentral's name for it is "hsa-miR-3936". The record is from miRBase by way of RNAcentral. Lineage: Eukaryota; Metazoa; Chordata; Mammalia; Primates; Hominidae.